GGCUUCGUACCUCAGCUGGUAGAGCGCUUGCCGCGUUAAGGCAUGCUAUGUCUGUCGCUGGCUUGAAUCCAGCCGGAGUCC
This 81-nucleotide transfer RNA is filed under the name Paragonimus westermani. Its description in RNAcentral is "tRNA-Asn". The record is from RNAcentral. Lineage: Eukaryota; Metazoa; Platyhelminthes; Trematoda; Plagiorchiida; Troglotrematidae.